CCGAGUUAUACAACUCAUCAACCCUGUGAACAUACCUAUAACGUUGCCUCGGCGGGAACAGACGGCCCUGUAACACGGGCCGCCCCCGCCAGAGGACCCCUAACUCUGUUUCUAUAAUGUUUCUUCUGAGUAAACAAGCAAAUAAAUUA
RNAcentral lists this unclassified non-coding RNA (149 nucleotides) under soil metagenome. RNAcentral's name for it is "partial internal transcribed spacer 1". The record is from RNAcentral.